RNAcentral lists this ribosomal RNA (453 nucleotides) under uncultured bacterium. RNAcentral's name for it is "bacterial SSU rRNA". It matches the Rfam family "Bacterial small subunit ribosomal RNA", at positions 340 to 786 of the family's 1533-position model. The record is from RNAcentral.
UACGGAAGGCAGCAGUGGGGAAUAUUGCACAAUGGGCGCAAGCCUGAUGCAGCCAUGCCGCGUGUAUGAAGAAGGCCUUCGGGUUGUAAAGUACUUUCAGUCGUGAGGAAGGUGUUAAGGUUAAUAACCUUAGCAAUUGACGUUAGCGACAGAAGAAGCACCGGCUAACUCCGUGCCAGCAGCCGCGGUAAUACGGAGGGUGCGAGCGUUAAUCGGAAUUACUGGGCGUAAAGGGCACGCAGGCGGUUAAUUAAGUUGGAUGUGAAUCCCCGGGCUUAACCUGGGAAUGGCAUUCAAGACUGGUUAGCUAGAGUCUUGUAGAGGGGGUAGAAUUCCAUGUGUAGCGGUGAAAUGCGUAGAGAUGUGGAGGAAUACCGGGUGGCGAAGGCGGCCCCUGGGACAAAGACUGACGCUCAUGUGCGAAAGCGUGGGGAGCAAACAGGAUUAGAUACC